UACAGAGGUCUCAAGCGUUGUUCGGAUUCAUUGGGCGUAAAGGGUGCGUAGGCGGCGCGGUAAGUCGGGUGUGAAAUCUCGGGGCUUAACUCCGAAACUGCAUUCGAUACUGCCGUGCUUGAGGACUGCAGAGGGGGAUGGAAUUCCGCGUGUAGCAGUGAAAUGCGUAGAUAUGCGGAGGAACACCGAUGGCGAAGGCAGUCCCCUGGGCCUGCACUGACGCUCAUGCACGAAAGCGUGGGGAGCAAACAGG
RNAcentral lists this ribosomal RNA (253 nucleotides) under uncultured bacterium. Its description in RNAcentral is "partial 16S ribosomal RNA". It matches the Rfam family "Bacterial small subunit ribosomal RNA", at positions 524 to 776 of the family's 1533-position model. The record is from RNAcentral.